CAGGCCUAACACAUGCAAGUCGAGCGGUAGAGAGAAGCUUGCUUCUCUUGAGAGCGGCGGACGGGUGAGUAAUACCUAGGAGUCUGCCUGAUAGUGGGGGAUAACGUUCGGAAACGGACGCUAAUACCGCAUACGUCCUACGGGAGAAAGCAGGGGACCUUCGGGCCUUGCGCUAUCAGAUGUGCCUAGGUCGGAUUAGCUAGUUGGUGAGGUAAUGGCUCACCAAGGCUACGAUCCGUAACUGGUCUGAGAGGAUGAUCAGUCACACUGGAACUGAGACACGGUCCAGACUCCUACGGGAGGCAGCAGUGGGGAAUAUUGGACAAUGGGCGAAAGCCUGAUCCAGCCAUGCCGCGUGUGUGAAGAAGGUCUUCGGAUUGUAAAGCACUUUAAGUUGGGAGGAAGGGCAGUUACCUAAUACGUGAUUGUCUUGACGUUACCGACAGAAUAAGCACCGGCUAACUCUGUGCCAGCAGCCGCGGUAAUACAGAGGGUGCAAGCGUUAAUCGGAAUUACUGGGCGUAAAGCGCGCGUAGGUGGUUUGUUGAGUUGAAUGUGAAAUCCCCGGGCUCAACCUGGGAACUGCAUCCAAAACUGGCAAGCUAGAGUAUGGUAGUGGGUAGUGGAAUUUCCUGUGUAGCGGUGAAAUGCGUAGAUAUAGGAAGGAACACCAGUGGCGAAGGCGACUACCUGGACUGAUACUGACACUGAGGUGCGAAAGCGUGGGGAGCAAACAGGAUUAGAUACCCUGGUAGUCCACGCCGUAAACGAUGUCAACUAGCCGUUGGGAGUCUUGAACUCUUAGUGGCGCAGCUAACGCAUUAAGUUGACCGCCUGGGGAGUCGGCCGCAAGGUUAAAAC
RNAcentral lists this ribosomal RNA (861 nucleotides) under uncultured bacterium. RNAcentral's name for it is "bacterial SSU rRNA". It matches the Rfam family "Bacterial small subunit ribosomal RNA", at positions 43 to 900 of the family's 1533-position model. The record is from RNAcentral.